This 387-nucleotide ribosomal RNA is filed under the name uncultured bacterium. RNAcentral's name for it is "bacterial SSU rRNA". It matches the Rfam family "Bacterial small subunit ribosomal RNA", at positions 427 to 793 of the family's 1533-position model. The record is from RNAcentral.
AAAGUACUUUCAGCAGUGAGGAAGGUGUUGUCGUUAAUAGCGGCAUCAUUUGACGUUUAGCUGCAGAAGAAGCACCGGCUAACUCCGUGCCAGCAGCCGCGGUAAUACGGAGGGUGCGAGCGUUAAUCGGAAUUACUGGGCGUAAAGACGCAUGCAGGUGGUUUGUUAAGUUCAGAUGUGAAAGACCCGGGGCGUCAACCUCCGGAAAUUGCAUUUGUAAACUAGGCAGACUAGAGUACUGUAGAGGGGGGUAGGAAGUUUCAGGUGUAGCGGUGAAAUAGCGUAGAGAUCUGAAGGAAUACCGGUGGCGAAGGCGGCCCCCUCGGACAGAUACUGACACUCAGAUGCGAAAGCGUGGGGAGCAAACAGGAUUAGAUACCCUGGUAG